Molecule: long non-coding RNA, 4391 nt
Organism: Nymphaea colorata (pocket water lily)
Lineage: Eukaryota; Viridiplantae; Streptophyta; Magnoliopsida; Nymphaeales; Nymphaeaceae
Exons: 16
Source: RefSeq, a predicted model, not a curated record
GCAGCAUAUCAUUCCAUGAAUCGCAGGAGUUCGUUCGCGGGGCGGAGCGAUCGGAUGUCAAUGGGUGACAAUGGUGAUCCAUCGGAUGUCAAUGGGUGACAAUGGUGAUGCGAUCGGAUGUCAAUGGGUGACAAUGGUGAUCCAUCGGAUGUCAAUGGGUGACAACGGUGAUGCGAUCGGAUGUCAAUGGGUGACAAGGGAUGAGGAUUUCUUGCAAGGAGUGCCCUGUGAAAUAUAUUGAGGGCAUAUCAAUGCUCCUUUGUACAUUAUCGCAGUAGUGUUAAUGAAUGGGCAGCGGUGGUGGAGAUGAUUAAGUGCCAUUGAGAUCAAGAUCGAGAUAGGAAUAGGGAGAUUAAUGGCGGCGAACGAAUCAGCCGUUGGAGAUUAAUCAUCAGAAUAUCGUCCACAUGCAUGACGUUAUUGAGUUGAGUUCGGAUGGGCCAGAGAUUGAGGGCGUAUCAAUGCUCCUUUGUACAUUGUCGCAGUGGUGGAGAUGGUUAAGUGCGGUUGAGAUGAAGAUCGAGAUAGAAACAGGAAGAUUAAUGGCGGCGAACGAUUCAGCCGUUGGAGAUUGAUCAUCAGAAUAUCGUCCGGAUGCAUGACGUUAUUGAGGUUGAGGGCAUAUCAAUGGUCCUUUCUACAUUGUCGCAGUGGUGUUAUUGAACGGGCAGCGGUGGUGGAGAUGAUUAAGUGCCAUUGAGAUCAAGAUCGAGAUUAAUGGCGGCGAACGAAUCAGCCCUUGGAGAUUAAUCGUCAGAAUAUCGUCCGGAUGCAUGACGUUAUUCAGAUUGAGAGCAUAUCAAUGCUCCUUUGUACAUUGUCGCAGUGGUGUUAUUGAAUGGCAGCGGUGGUGGAGAUGAUUAAGUGCCAUUGAGAUCAAGAUCGAGAUAGAAACAGGGAGAUUAAUGGCAGCGAACAAAUCAGCCAUUGGAGAUUAAUCGUCAGAAUAUCGUCUGGGAUGCAUGACGUUAUUGAGAUUUCUCGUUUAUUGUAGUUGGGGAUGACGAUCGAGACCGACUGAUCAAAUAAAAGGGUAGAUUUUAGAGAAGCUCAUUUAAUUCAUUUGAGCUGUCUCCUGACUCAAACACGGCCCAAGACUUAUGCUACCAGCAGGGUCUUGAAUGUAGUUGAGCAUGGCGAGAAAAGGGUCAUAGGUAUGGAUCGGGUCUCUUUUCAGCACUUGGGUUUGACAACAGAUAUUUUGUGGGGAUCCAACCCAAUGAUCGGUAAGACGGUGGCCCACUCUUUUCUCAUAUGAAGUGGAACGGUUGAUCCCCGCACUUUCUAUGGCGUUUGAUCUGCUAAGAAAGAAAGCCGGGCUGGCAAAUUCCCACCCUUCUUUCUCCAUGAUCGUUUCUUGCUCCACCAUUGAGCUCUUUGGGCAGCAUAUCUUUCUUUUAAUGGCAGGAGUUCGUUCACGAGGCGGAGCCAUCGGAUGUCAAUGGGUGACAAUGGUGAUGCAAUCGGAUGAUGCGGAUGAGGAUUUCUUGCAAGAAUGCCCUGUGAAAGAUAUUGAGGGCAUAUCAAUGCUCCGUUGUACAUUGUCACAGUGGUGUUAAUGAAUGGGCAGUGGUGGUGGAGAUGAUUAAGUGCCAUUGAGAUCAAGAUCGAGAUAGAAACAGGGAGAUUAAUGGCGGCGAACGAAUCAGCUGUUGGAGAUAUCGAGAUAGAUUGAGAUAGAAACAGGGAGUUUAAUGGCGGCGAACAAAUCAGCUGUCGGAGAUUAAUCUUCAGAAUAUCGUCCAGAUGCAUGACGUUAUUGAGAUUGAGGCAUAUCAAUGCUCCUUUGGACAUUGUUGCAGUGGUGUUAUUGAAUGGGCAUUGGUGGUGGAGAUGAAAAGUGCCAUUGAGAUGAAGAUCGAGAUAGAAACAGGGAGAUUCAUGACGGCAAACGAAUAAGCAGUUGGAGAUUAAUCAUCAGAAUAUCGUCUGGAUGCAUGUUGUUAUUAAGAUUUCUCGUUUAUUGUAGUUGGGGAUGACGAUCGAGACCGACUGAUCAAAUAAAAGGGUAGAUUUUAGAGAAGCUCAUUUAAUUCAUUUGAGCUGUCUCCUGACUCAAACACGGCCCAAGACUUAUGCUACCAGCAGGGUCUUGAAUGUAGUUGAGCAUGGCGAGAAAAGGGUCAUAGGUAUGGAUCGGGUCUCUUUUCAGCACUUGGGUUUGACAACAGAUAUUUUGUGGGGAUCCAACCCAAUGAUCGGUAAGACGGUGGCCCACUCUUUUCUCAUAUGAAGUGGAACGGUUGAUCCCCGCACUUUCUAUGGCGUUUGAUCUGCUAAGAAAGAAAGCCGGUGGGUAUCAAAUGCGCCAUAAAGUUUCUUCGAGUCCACAUUGGUUUUUAGGAAAAAAACAAAAAAAGUCAGUCGCUAUUUUCUCCAAUGAUUUUCUUCUUGUUGCAUGUUAGGGCUGGCAAAUUCCCACGCUUCUUUCUCCAUGAUCGUUUCUUGCUCCACCAUUGAGCUCUUUGGGCAGCAUAUCUUUCUUUUAAUGGCAGGAGUUCGUUCACGAGGCGGAGCCAUCGGAUGUCAAUGGGUGACAAUGGUGAUGCAAUCGGAUGAUGCGGAUGAGGAUUUCUUGCAAGAAUGCCCUGUGAAAGAUAUUGAGGGCAUAUCAAUGCUCCGUUGUACAUUGUCACAGUGGUGGUGGAGAUGAUUAAGUGCCAUUGAGAUCAAGAUCGAGAUAGAAACAGGGAGAUUAAUGGCGGCGAACGAAUCAGCUGUUGGAGAUAUCGAGAUAGAUUGAGAUAGAAACAGGGAGUUUAAUGGCGGCGAACAAAUCAGCUGUCGGAGAUUAAUCUUCAGAAUAUCGUCCAGAUGCAUGACGUUAUUGAGAUUGAGGCAUAUCAAUGCUCCUUUGGACAUUGUUGCAGUGGUGUUAUUGAAUGGGCAUUGGUGGUGGAGAUGAAAAGUGCCAUUGAGAUGAAGAUCGAGAUAGAAACAGGGAGAUUCAUGACGGCAAACGAAUAAGCAGUUGGAGAUUAAUCAUCAGAAUAUCGUCUGGAUGCAUGUUGUUAUUAAGAUUUCUCGUUUAUUGUAGUUGGGGAUGACGAUCGAGACCGACUGAUCAAAUAAAAGGGUAGAUUUUAGAGAAGCUCAUUUAAUUCAUUUGAGCUGUCUCCUGACUCAAACACGGCCCAAGACUUAUGCUACCAGCAGGGUCUUGAAUGUAGUUGAGCAUGGCGAGAAAAGGGUCAUAGGUAUGGAUCGGGUCUCUUUUCAGCACUUGGGUUUGACAACAGAUAUUUUGUGGGGAUCCAACCCAAUGAUCGGUAAGACGGUGGCCCACUCUUUUCUCAUAUGAAGUGGAACGGUUGAUCCCCGCACUUUCUAUGGCGUUUGAUCUGCUAAGAAAGAAAGCCGGGCUGGCAAAUUCCCACGCUUCUUUCUCCAUGAUCGUUUCUUGCUCCACCAUUGAGCUCUUUGGGCAGCAUAUCUUUCUUUUAAUGGCAGGAGUUCGUUCACGAGGCGGAGCCAUCGGAUGUCAAUGGGUGACAAUGGUGAUGCAAUCGGAUGAUGCGGAUGAGGAUUUCUUGCAAGAAUGCCCUGUGAAAGAUAUUGAGGGCAUAUCAAUGCUCCGUUGUACAUUGUCACAGUGGUGGUGGAGAUGAUUAAGUGCCAUUGAGAUCAAGAUCGAGAUAGAAACAGGGAGAUUAAUGGCGGCGAACGAAUCAGCUGUUGGAGAUAUCGAGAUAGAUUGAGAUAGAAACAGGGAGUUUAAUGGCGGCGAACAAAUCAGCUGUCGGAGAUUAAUCUUCAGAAUAUCGUCCAGAUGCAUGACGUUAUUGAGAUUGAGGCAUAUCAAUGCUCCUUUGGACAUUGUUGCAGUGGUGUUAUUGAAUGGGCAUUGGUGGUGGAGAUGAAAAGUGCCAUUGAGAUGAAGAUCGAGAUAGAAACAGGGAGAUUCAUGAUGGCAAACGAAUAAGCAGUUGGAGAUUAAUCAUCAGAAUAUCGUCUGGAUGCAUGUUGUUAUUAAGGUGAGUUCAGAUGCGCCACCGAUUCCACUCUUUCUUAGUUUGUUUUGUUUUAUUGGAGUAAAAUUUUGAGUGUUUCUUCUUUGUCAUGGUUAGUAGAUGAAAUGUGAGGAUUGCGUGAUUGGUAAAAUAGUUUGGGAUGUGUUCAUUCGUUAUUGUUUGGCUUUCUUAUAGAAAAAUUGUUAUUGGUUUUUGAGAUGUCACUCAGAGUUGAAUAAUGAGCGUGUGAUUAGGUGGCUGCAAGCAGCAGGGAUUGAAUUUCUUUUGGUAUAACUGUCAUGCUUGUUUAAGGAUGAUUACAAAUAGCGCAAUGUGGUUGUGGGUUUUGUGAAAUACCUGAUCGCAAGAUUGAGGAUGAAUGUUCUCGUUAGAGAUUUUAUUAUGAAACGAGACUCUGGCUUCUGGAAAUCAACAGCUUGC